RNAcentral lists this long non-coding RNA (221 nucleotides) under Linum usitatissimum (flax). Its description in RNAcentral is "long non-coding RNA (LUSI_LNC005151)". Lineage: Eukaryota; Viridiplantae; Streptophyta; Magnoliopsida; Malpighiales; Linaceae. The record is from RNAcentral.
UACCGAAACUUAAUCGAUCGCAACAGAAUGGAAACAAGGACCUUAACUCAGAUUACGAUUCCUCAUUCAAGAGAGGAGACCAAAUCGACAUGGGGAUCCUAUGGCGUAGACAAACAGGGGUUCGAUGUUCGACGAGCAAAUUCCAGGACUGAAACGAUCGAGACUGGCUAGAGGAGUCAACGAUAGUUUCGUCGUCGCCGCCGAAAAUUUUUCGAUCCUGG